This 327-nucleotide long non-coding RNA is filed under the name Helianthus annuus (common sunflower). Its description in RNAcentral is "sRNA HanXRQr2_Chr16g0753771". The record is from RNAcentral. Lineage: Eukaryota; Viridiplantae; Streptophyta; Magnoliopsida; Asterales; Asteraceae.
GUGUGUCUGGUCGUACAUGGGACGCAGGGGGCGACCAUGAGACAUCACCAAGCCCUAGUUCAUCACUUAAUUCACAAAAUUGAAGGUCCAAAUCUGACCAAAAACAAAAAUUGAGCAUAGAUUACUGAUCCUCAUCACAAGAGGAUUACAAGGAAAAGAUACCGGAGCGUCGAGUGGACAAGCCGGUGGCGAUUCGCGUUGAAGGGCGUGCACUAAAGGAAAUGCAGGUAAUGAUGGGGUAUUUCCGGAUGGCGAUCAAGCAUGUUCAGAAGAACCGAACACACUUUUUAAAGCUUCCGCAAUAUCUUAACUUUUAAUAAAUUAUGU